RNAcentral lists this ribosomal RNA (1464 nucleotides) under Lactiplantibacillus plantarum. Its description in RNAcentral is "bacterial SSU rRNA". It matches the Rfam family "Bacterial small subunit ribosomal RNA". The record is from RNAcentral. Lineage: Bacteria; Bacillati; Bacillota; Bacilli; Lactobacillales; Lactobacillaceae.
ACGAACGCUGGCGGCGUGCCUAAUACAUGCAAGUCGAACGAACUCUGGUAUUGAUUGGUGCUUGCAUCAUGAUUUACAUUUGAGUGAGUGGCGAACUGGUGAGUAACACGUGGGAAACCUGCCCAGAAGCGGGGGAUAACACCUGGAAACAGAUGCUAAUACCGCAUAACAACUUGGACCGCAUGGUCCGAGUUUGAAAGAUGGCUUCGGCUAUCACUUUUGGAUGGUCCCGCGGCGUAUUAGCUAGAUGGUGGGGUAACGGCUCACCAUGGCAAUGAUACGUAGCCGACCUGAGAGGGUAAUCGGCCACAUUGGGACUGAGACACGGCCCAAACUCCUACGGGAGGCAGCAGUAGGGAAUCUUCCACAAUGGACGAAAGUCUGAUGGAGCAACGCCGCGUGAGUGAAGAAGGGUUUCGGCUCGUAAAACUCUGUUGUUAAAGAAGAACAUAUCUGAGAGUAACUGUUCAGGUAUUGACGGUAUUUAACCAGAAAGCCACGGCUAACUACGUGCCAGCAGCCGCGGUAAUACGUAGGUGGCAAGCGUUGUCCGGAUUUAUUGGGCGUAAAGCGAGCGCAGGCGGUUUUUUAAGUCUGAUGUGAAAGCCUUCGGCUCAACCGAAGAAGUGCAUCGGAAACUGGGAAACUUGAGUGCAGAAGAGGACAGUGGAACUCCAUGUGUAGCGGUGAAAUGCGUAGAUAUAUGGAAGAACACCAGUGGCGAAGGCGGCUGUCUGGUCUGUAACUGACGCUGAGGCUCGAAAGUAUGGGUAGCAAACAGGAUUAGAUACCCUGGUAGUCCAUACCGUAAACGAUGAAUGCUAAGUGUUGGAGGGUUUCCGCCCUUCAGUGCUGCAGCUAACGCAUUAAGCAUUCCGCCUGGGGAGUACGGCCGCAAGGCUGAAACUCAAAGGAAUUGACGGGGGCCCGCACAAGCGGUGGAGCAUGUGGUUUAAUUCGAAGCUACGCGAAGAACCUUACCAGGUCUUGACAUACUAUGCAAAUCUAAGAGAUUAGACGUUCCCUUCGGGGACAUGGAUACAGGUGGUGCAUGGUUGUCGUCAGCUCGUGUCGUGAGAUGUUGGGUUAAGUCCCGCAACGAGCGCAACCCUUAUUAUCAGUUGCCAGCAUUAAGUUGGGCACUCUGGUGAGACUGCCGGUGACAAACCGGAGGAAGGUGGGGAUGACGUCAAAUCAUCAUGCCCCUUAUGACCUGGGCUACACACGUGCUACAAUGGAUGGUACAACGAGUUGCGAACUCGCGAGAGUAAGCUAAUCUCUUAAAGCCAUUCUCAGUUCGGAUUGUAGGCUGCAACUCGCCUACAUGAAGUCGGAAUCGCUAGUAAUCGCGGAUCAGCAUGCCGCGGUGAAUACGUUCCCGGGCCUUGUACACACCGCCCGUCACACCAUGAGAGUUUGUAACACCCAAAGUCGGUGGGGUAACCUUUUAGGAACCAGCCGCCU